CCUACGGGGGGCUGCAGUGAGGAAUAUUGGUCAAUGGACGAGAGUCUGAACCAGCCAAGUAGCGUGAAGGAUGACUGCCCUAUGGGUUGUAAACUUCUUUUAUAAAGGAAUAAAACGAGGCACGUGUGCCUUUUUGCAUGUACUUUAUGAAUAAGGAUCGGCUAACUCCGUGCCAGCAGCCGCGGUAAUACGGAGGAUCCGAGCGUUAUCCGGAUUUAUUGGGUGUAAAGGGAGCGUAGAUGGGUUGUUAAGUCAGUUGUGAAAGUUUGCGGCUCAACCGUAAAAUUGCAAUUGAUACUGGCAGUCUUGAGUACAGUUGAGGUAAGCGGAAUUCGUGGUGUAGCGGUGAAAUGCUUAGAUAUCACGAAGAACCCCGAUUGCGAAGGCAGCUUACUAAACUGUGACUGACAUUGAUGCUCGAAAGUGUGGGUAGCAAACAGGAUUAGAUACCCGAGUAGUC
RNAcentral lists this ribosomal RNA (460 nucleotides) under uncultured bacterium. Its description in RNAcentral is "partial 16S ribosomal RNA". It matches the Rfam family "Bacterial small subunit ribosomal RNA", at positions 338 to 795 of the family's 1533-position model. The record is from RNAcentral.